GGUGGAACAGCAUGUGUGAGACCCCUGAGGCAGGCAGGGGACAGCCAACUGAGUGAGGAGAGGUCUGAGCAGCGUGGGAACGCGGACGUUUGCUGAAGGUACAGAUGCUCCGUGAGGUCACCGAGGCCAGGUCACAGGAGCCCCUGGACCACGCGCAUAAUGUGGAUUUUUGUCUGUGUGGUGGCGGCUGGUGGAGGGACACAAGCGGGGUGACAUUCUGGCGAUGUUCCUGGGCUGUGAGGCUGUGGGGGUCGCCCCCUCUCCCCAAGGCCAGGCUGGCGGGGAGGCGGAGGUGAGCCCACGCGGGAGGCCAGCCUCCGAGAAGCGGGGCAGCCAGCCGGCCUGGAGGGCCGAGGUCAGAGAGUCGGGAACGACGGUGUCCAGAUGCAUGGUUGUGGAAGCCACUCGCGGGGGGUGUCGCGGACUUUCCCGGAACGGGCUCUGUCCUGUCCUUUCCAAAAAAGCGAAAAAACUUACGCAAGCUGGAAACGAAAAGACCUUUCCUCUGGGACAGGGAGGAGAGCGCACAGAGGCCCGGGAGGCGCCGGGGCGUGUGUUUGGGGGGCUAGACCAGACCUUUCCGUCCCUCUCUCCCUCCAUCCCCCCCCAUCAUAAAGGCGUUGACAUCAGAGGUCAAGGCCGGAGUGUCCGCUGAGCUCCGGGCCUGCUCGGACUCCGCCCCGAGGCUGCCCUUUCCUGUGGCCACCUCCUCUCUUGCCCUGGGAGCCGCAGGACUGUCAGCCCCCGCCCCGUGGACAGGCCUGCUGCUCUUACCAUCAUGAUGCCCACCUGUGUCUGACGGGGGAGGUGCUGCCCGGCCCUGCCUUUCUGGGGCCCGCCAUCACCCACAGACACAGCGAGACCACCAGCUCCUGACCACAGAGAGGUCACUCGUGCCUUCACCAAAGGAGUGUCCCCGCGGGCACCCCCGGGUGGGCCCUGGGAUCUCAGGUGACAGCCCACAGCUCCUCUGGGCCUUCCUCUGCCCUGGGAGGGGUCUAGGGUGUGCAUCCUGGGGUGGGUCUUGGGGACAGGACGGCCGUGCUGGACAGGACGGCAGGCACCUGGGCGGGUGAUUCUGUGCUCACACACGAUGGUCACUGUGCACGCCUGGCCUUGGUGGCCCCGGGACCGUCACGGCCAUGUCGGAGGCUAACCCAGAAAGCCCUGGUUGGCUUAAACGCGUGGCUGACGCAUCCUGGCAGACUGGAGAUCAAGCCCGCGCUGUGGGAGCCACCGAAGGACUCUAAUGAGAGUGAUAGUCCAAAGUGGCUGCUUAGGGGAGGGUUCGAGGGUGGCCUAGAGUUUCCCGAGUUAAGGUGCCGCAGGACGUUUGAGCCACUCGGGUAGAGUGUCCCGCCAGUCUCGCCGUACAGCUCGGCCCAGGGUGUGUUUACGCACUAAGAGGGCUCGGGUGCCACCAAGUGGCCAUCCUGGGGACAUCAACGCCCGUCACCAUGGAGCCACCAGUAUCUUUUCCUUCUGUGGGAGCAAAUCUCUGCAUUUGAGUUCAAUCUUUCCGAUUUCAAAGUGAGGAAACCCACGAGAUGUCUUGCUUAGCAGUGAGCUGACACUUUCCCCUUGGGUUUGAAACUACUCAUUCUGUGCGCACGUCAGCUCCAGUCCUGCCAAUGCUUCUGGUAAGUCACUGAUUUCCUUCUUGCAUUAGGGUAACAGAGAGGGUGAGGCAUCCCUGUGCAGCGACACCAGAUCGUGAAACCCUGGAGGCCGAUCCGUCAUCGGUGUGGCUGGUGACUCCACCCGUGAGGUCCCGGAGCCACAUGCCCCCUGAGGCCCCGGAAGACACAGCCCUGAGCUGCUCCCGAGCCUGGCGCUUAAGGCGGGAAACAGACUUCAAUUUUUUAGAAGAUAGGGACGGGCCACGGAAAGGACCACAACAGGGCUGUCUAUGGGAGUGUGGGUCGUGGGGACUGGUGUUCUGUGAUGUGGAAAACCUUAAAUUUCCUCACUGCGUCCAGCCCCUGGACAAGUCCCUGGGACAGGCAGAGUCACCGCCCUCUGGGAGCCCAGCUGCCUCGAUGAUGACACUUCGCUAAGGGCAAAAGGCGAUCUUAGCUUAACCUCAUCCCGACCUCCGGGAUCCUGUGAGUGUCCUUUAUCGUGUAAAGGACAGGAAGGAAACUUCCUUCACCUCUACCCCCCAAGAUACAAGGUAGGAAAUCAGACUCCAAGCGUAAAGUCCCCUGAUACGCAUCUGAAAGGUCUCAUGACUGAGGGUUUGCUAAACGGUAAUACGUGACCUUUUCCCAACAACAGUGAGCCCUCUCGGGGCCCUGGAAACCUUGCUCCCAAAUCCCUUGGAGGCCUGUGCUGUCCCCAGCCCCCUCCCGACUUGGCGGUGGGUAAGCACUCGCUUCUCACAGCUCUUCCUGCCCACGGACCCGCCCCCGUGCUUUAAUAAAGCACCAAAGAUGUCUCAAGAAUUCUUUCAUGAGACUUUUUGUCGCACAGGGUUUCACGACUGUUUGGUCUGAACCCCAAUAUCUCCACAUCCAUCUGGAGUGGAACAGGUGUCCGUUGUCACAGCUCCCCACCCAAGCCCCGACCAGGCAGCUCAGCUGAAGGGUUUCUAAGGGAGCAGCUGACAAUUAGGCGGAAAGUGGGCAGUAGCAGAAUCUCCAAGGUGCCCCCCUGGCUAGUCGAGCAGAGCCGGGCUGUGAUUUGGAGGGAAAAAAAGGCUCCUUCCUACAAGGAACCCGUGGAGAAUGAGACAAGCAGAGGCCACUGUGUGCUGGGAGCCUUGCCUGGGCUUCUACGCAAAUUAGGAAGGGUUUAGCAUGGUUUUAGGGAUGCCCCACUCCGGAUUUUAAAAACUGGAGUUUUAAAAAAUCUCCAGACAGCAAGGUCAGUUGGGUGUAUUUGUGCGAAUCUAUUUCUGGGUCCUUUGCUCUGUUCUACUGAUCUGUGUGUCUGUGCCUCUGCAAAUACCACAGUCUUGAUUGAGUUGUAUCAUAAGAUUUAAAAUUUGACAGACUGUUUCCAUUUUAUUAUUUUUUCUACGUUAUUUUAGAUACUCUAGUACUUUGCCUUCCCAUAUGUAUCUUAGAAUAAUCUUAACUAUGUCUACAAAACACCCUCCUAGGAUUUUGAUAGGAAUGGUACUAAAAAACGUAUAUCAACUUGAGGAGAAUUGACGUCUCUGCUAUGUUGAGCCUUUCAACUCAUAAACACAAGCUUCCUGCGCUCUGAUGAGUAAGAGAGUUGGGAGCAGGUGUCCUUGCCACGUUCCUGAGUAUUCACCAUCCAUUCAUCACUGAUGAGAGUCUUCAUCAUUGCCCAAGAGAAAGCACGAGCAGGUGAGGGGCAGAGAGAGAGGGAGACCCAGAAUUGGAAGCAGCUCCAGGCUCCAAGCUGUCAGCACAGAGCCCGACGUGGGGCUCAAACUCACGAACCGAGAGAUCAUGACCUAAGCUGAAGUCGGACGCUCAACCGACUGAGCCCCCCAGGCAUCCCGAAAUAUAUUUAAAAAAAUCAAUUAAAAGUGCUUAUAUGCACAUGUCACCCUUAAUCUCUUAGCCAGUGAGUUUUUGAUAUUUCCUAAUAUGGAAAUGUCCUUCACUGUCUGGGUUAAAUCAUGAUGUAUUGAAUUCAUUGUUGGAUUCAGCCUGCUAAUAAAUUAUUCAGACAUUUGUCUUUGUUGCAAAAGGGAUGGUUGUCCUCUCCUUUCUUCUCUUGUGCCCUCAUCCCCCAGCUCUGUUAUAGGAGAAUCCAGCAAUUUCCCACCCAUCUAUGUCUACACCCUGGAACGACUGCAUGAUCCAGGAACCAUCUGAUGGCAGUGUGCUGGUUCAGAAGAUCUGGAGCUGUUUCUUAUUUUCUAUAGUUAUUGUUCUUUUAAAGCUUUCUUGGUAAAAAUUAAACAUAGAGAUGUCAUGCAACCCAGAAAUUCCACUUGUAGGUACUCACCUGAAGAAAAUGAAAACACUGAUUCCAAAAGAUACACGUACCCCACGAUCACGGCAGCACCAUUUACGAUGGCCAAGAUAUGGCAGCCGCCCAAAUGUCCUCCAUAGACGAACGGAUAAAGAAGAUGG
Neofelis nebulosa (Clouded leopard) is the source of this 4055-nucleotide long non-coding RNA. RefSeq lists it as uncharacterized. The record is from RefSeq and is a predicted model, not a curated record. The transcript has 3 exons. Lineage: Eukaryota; Metazoa; Chordata; Mammalia; Carnivora; Felidae.